GAGUGUUAAAAGGCCAGCAGGAAUUAUUCACUAGAGAAGCGGAAGGGAGAGAAUGGAAAUGGCCGCAUGCAGCUCCUCUCCCUCAGACAGCUCGGGGCUCAGCGGAAUGAGCACAGUCUGCAGGACAAGUGCGGAGGACUUCAGUCCCCUCUACUGUAUAUUGGCUUUAGGACUCAAGUUGUCCCUGAAAUAGAGGAAGGUGUUUUUUAGGUUAGCGGUAAUUAUCACAGUCAAAAAAGUAGGCGAGAGCACUUAGGAAAACUGUGCGGAGAUCGGCUGCUGAUGUGUAAAUACUGCUGAAACUGCUUAUUCAAGAUUAGAAAACCUGAGACCCAGACGGGGGAAACUGCUUUCCAUGGUUAAUCGGCAACAACUGGCCAGGAUGGGACAGAAGCCCAUACAUAGCCUUCAUUCCAGGGCCCAGAACAAAAAGAAGGCAGUGGCCUGGGCUGCACCUGAGCUUGGCUUCACAUAGGAGGGAUUCUGGAACGCAGGAUCCUGACAACGACCUCAAGCCCCUGUAAAGCAACACAUUUUUUGGCAAGAAUGCCUGGGACAGAGAAAGAAUUUCUUCUCACUGAUUAUUGAGAAUGUUCUCAUAUCUUACAAGGCUCACUGCCCAGUAGAAGCUGAAAAGAUUCAGUACGAGUAAAAGAAGAGAUCUGAAAUUUGCAGCCUGUCAUAGAAAG
RNAcentral lists this long non-coding RNA (689 nucleotides) under Pan troglodytes (chimpanzee). Its description in RNAcentral is "lincRNA". The record is from RNAcentral. Lineage: Eukaryota; Metazoa; Chordata; Mammalia; Primates; Hominidae.